This 459-nucleotide ribosomal RNA is filed under the name uncultured bacterium. RNAcentral describes it as "partial 16S ribosomal RNA". It matches the Rfam family "Bacterial small subunit ribosomal RNA", at positions 338 to 795 of the family's 1533-position model. The record is from RNAcentral.
CCUACGGGUGGCAGCAGUGAGGAAUAUUGGUCAAUGGGCGCGAGCCUGAACCAGCCAAGUCGCGUGAGGGAAGACGGUCCUAUGGAUUUUAACCCUCUUUUGUCGGGGAGCAAAAGACGCCACGCGUGGCGUUCCGAGAGUACCCGAAGAAAAAGCAUCGGCUAACUCCGUGCCAGCAGCCGCGUUAAUACGGAGGAUGCGAGCGUUAUCCGGAUUUAUUGGGUUUACAGGGUGUGCAGGCGGAAGAUCAAGUCAGCGGUAAAAUUGAGAGGCUCAACCUCUUCGAGCCGUUGAAACUGGUUUUCUGGAGUGAGCGAGAAGUAUGCGGAAUGCGUGGUGUAGCGGUGAAAUGCAUAGAUAUCACGCAGAACUCCGAUUGCGAAGGCAGCAUACCGGCGCUCAACUGACGCUCAUGCACGAAAGUGUGGGUAUCGAACAGGAUUAGAUACCCUUGUAGUC